Molecule: ribosomal RNA, 1445 nt
Filed under: uncultured organism
Description: SSU rRNA
Rfam family: Bacterial small subunit ribosomal RNA
Source: RNAcentral
GGCGGCGUGCUUAACACAUGCAAGUCGAACGGAAAGGCCCUGCUUUUGUGGGGUGCUCGAGUGGCGAACGGGUGAGUAACACGUGAGUAACCUGCCCUUGACUUUGGGAUAACUUCAGGAAACUGGGGCUAAUACCGGAUAGGAGCUCCUGCUGCAUGGUGGGGGUUGGAAAGUUUCGGCGGUUGGGGAUGGACUCGCGGCUUAUCAGCUUGUUGGUGGGGUAGUGGCUUACCAAGGCUUUGACGGGUAGCCGGCCUGAGAGGGUGACCGGCCACAUUGGGACUGAGAUACGGCCCAGACUCCUACGGGAGGCAGCAGUGGGGAAUAUUGCACAAUGGGCGGAAGCCUGAUGCAGCAACGCCGCGUGCGGGAUGACGGCCUUCGGGUUGUAAACCGCUUUCGCCUGUGACGAAGCGUGAGUGACGGUAAUGGGUAAAGAAGCACCGGCUAACUACGUGCCAGCAGCCGCGGUGAUACGUAGGGUGCGAGCGUUGUCCGGAUUUAUUGGGCGUAAAGGGCUCGUAGGUGGUUGAUCGCGUCGGAAGUGUAAUCUUGGGGCUUAACCCUGAGCGUGCUUUCGAUACGGGUUGACUUGAGGAAGGUAGGGGAGAAUGGAAUUCCUGGUGGAGCGGUGGAAUGCGCAGAUAUCAGGAGGAACACCAGUGGCGAAGGCGGUUCUCUGGGCCUUUCCUGACGCUGAGGAGCGAAAGCGUGGGGAGCGAACAGGCUUAGAUACCCUGGUAGUCCACGCUGUAAACGGUGGGUACUAGGUGUGGGGUCCAUUCCACGGGUUCCGUGCCGUAGCUAACGCUUUAAGUACCCCGCCUGGGGAGUACGGCCGCAAGGCUAAAACUCAAAGGAAUUGACGGGGCCCCGCACAAGCGGCGGAGCAUGCGGAUUAAUUCGAUGCAACGCGUAGAACCUUACCUGGGUUUGACAUGGAUCGGGAGCGCUCAGAGAUGGGUGUGCCUCUUUUGGGGUCGGUUCACAGGUGGUGCAUGGCUGUCGUCAGCUCGUGUCGUGAGAUGUUGGGUUAAGUCCCGCAACGAGCGCAACCCUUGUUCACUGUUGCCAGCACGUUAUGGUGGGGACUCAGUGGAGACCGCCGGGGUCAACUCGGAGGAAGGUGGGGAUGACGUCAAGUCAUCAUGCCCCUUAUGUCCAGGGCUUCACGCAUGCUACAAUGGCUGGUACAGAGAGUGGCGAGCCUGUGAGGGUGAGCGAAUCUCGGAAAGCCGGUCUCAGUUCGGAUUGGGGUCUGCAACUCGACCUCAUGAAGUCGGAGUCGCUAGUAAUCGCAGAUCAGCAACGCUGCGGUGAAUACGUUCCCGGGGCUUGUACACACCGCCCGUCAAGUCAUGAAAGUUGGUAACACCCGAAGCCGGUGGCCUAACCGUUGUGGGGGAGCCGUCGAAGGUGGGACUGGUGAUUAGGACUAAGUCGUA